ACACAGCUAACGCGUGAAGUAGACCGCCUGGGGAGUACGGUCGCAAGAUUAANACUCAAAGGAAUUGACGGGGACCCGCACAAGCGGUGGAUGAUGUGGAUUAAUUCGAUGCAACGCGAAAAACCUUACCUACCCUUGACAUGGCUGGAAUCCUUGAGAGAUCAGGGAGUGCUCGAAAGAGAACCAGUACACAGGUGCUGCAUGGCUGUCGUCAGCUCGUGUCGUGAGAUGUUGGGUUAAGUCCCGCAACGAGCGCAACCCUUGUCAUUAGUUGCUACGAAAGGGCACUCUAAUGAGACUGCCGGUGACAAACCGGAGGAAGGUGGGGAUUGACGUCAAGUCCUCAUGGCCCUUA
RNAcentral lists this ribosomal RNA (355 nucleotides) under eubacterial soil DNA clone S-41. Its description in RNAcentral is "bacterial SSU rRNA". It matches the Rfam family "Bacterial small subunit ribosomal RNA", at positions 846 to 1204 of the family's 1533-position model. The record is from RNAcentral.